GCAGGUGAAUGCAACGUCAAGCGAUGGGCGUUGUGCUCCAUAUUGUCUUACUUCCUAAUUUUGAAUUAUUGCAUAGCACAAUUUAAUUCGUCAUAUGCCGGUGAUUACCGGCAUUU
Molecule: non-coding RNA, 116 nt
Organism: Edwardsiella ictaluri 93-146
Lineage: Bacteria; Pseudomonadati; Pseudomonadota; Gammaproteobacteria; Enterobacterales; Hafniaceae
Source: Rfam